AAGAUUAUACUUUCAGUGAUCUUUUUUUUAGUUUUCUACUAGAAAAGUGUCUCUGAACCUGGAGAGCACCAGAAACCAUGAGGAGGAGAUGUAGCGCUCUCUCCUGAGCUUAAAGCUGGCUCUUGGUUUUGCUUUGCUGCAACUGCUUUUUGCCAUUGAUGAUCAUUCUUCUCUUCCUCCUGGGAAGUAAGAGAGAGAAGAUGCAGCACGAAUGGU
Pan paniscus (pygmy chimpanzee) is the source of this 216-nucleotide small nucleolar RNA. Its record names the gene U3. It matches the Rfam family "Small nucleolar RNA U3". From Rfam's summary of the family: Small nucleolar RNAs (snoRNAs) are involved in the processing and modification of rRNA in the nucleolus. There are two main classes of snoRNAs: the box C/D class, and the box H/ACA class. U3 snoRNA is a member of the box C/D class. The record is from Ensembl. NCBI's taxonomy places the organism in Eukaryota, Metazoa, Chordata, Mammalia, Primates, Hominidae.